GGAUGCGAUCAUACCAGCACUAAAGCACCGGAUCCAUCAGAACUCCGAAGUUAAGCGUGCUUGGGCGAGAGUAGUACUAGGAUGGGUUGAACCUCCUGGGAAGUCCUCGUGUUGCAUCCC
Molecule: ribosomal RNA, 120 nt
Filed under: Helictotrichon macrostachyum
Lineage: Eukaryota; Viridiplantae; Streptophyta; Magnoliopsida; Poales; Poaceae
Source: RNAcentral